GACUUCUGGUUUAAUGUGCCUGGCCCGCGGCUCUUUAGGCUUGUGUGUGCCGGUGCGCGUUUACCAUCCUUCUGGGGAACGAGUCUACCCUUAACUGGGCCGGAUUCGGGAUCCAGAUCAUUUACUUUGAAAAAAUUAGAGUGUUUCAAGCAGGCAUGUUUUGCUAUGAAUACAUUAGCAUGGAAUAAUAAUCUAGGACUUUCGGUUCUAUUUUGUUGGUGUUCUGGAGCUGAAGUAAUGAUUGAUAGGGAUAGUUGGGGGUGCUAGUAUUCAAUGGCCAGAGGUGAAAUUCUCGGAUUCCUUGAAGACUAACUUAUGCGAAAGCAUU
RNAcentral lists this ribosomal RNA (328 nucleotides) under Rhogostoma sp. RNAcentral describes it as "SSU rRNA". The stretch from base 105 to 328 matches the Rfam family "Eukaryotic small subunit ribosomal RNA", at positions 735 to 955 of the family's 1831-position model. Lineage: Eukaryota; Cercozoa; Thecofilosea; Cryomonadida; Rhogostomidae. The record is from RNAcentral.